CAUGAAGCCGUGCCAUGGGACGUUGGGGACAUCACCAUGGGGAUGUUGGGGACACCAUGGAGCUGUGCCAUGGGAUGUUGGGGACAUCACCAUGGGGACAUUGGGGACAUCGCCAGGGGGACACUGGGAUGUGGGGGACACCAUGUGGCUGUGUAUGGAGAUGUUGGGGACAUCACGAUGGGGACAUUGGGGACAUCAUAGGGACACUGGGGACACCACCAUGAGGACGUUGGGGACAACAUGAAGCUGUGCAUUGGGACAUUGGGGACAUCACCAUGGAGACGUUGGGGACACCAUGGAGCUGUGCCAUGGGUUGUUGGGGACAUUAUGGAGCUGUGCCAUGGGACAUUGGGGACAUCACCAUGGGGACAUUGGGAAAAACAUCAUGGGGACACUGGGACAUUGGGGACACCAUGGAGCUGUGCCAUGGGAUACUGGGGACAUCGGGGACGCCAUGGGAUGUCACCUCACCCCCCCCCNNNNNNNNNNNNNNNNNNNNNNNACUGUUGGGCUCAGAUGCUUUUAGUGCUCCUGCACACGUGGGGACAACGGGGACACCGGGGGUCCUUCCCACCCCCAUCCCAUAAGGAUGGAGGACAGCCUGGGGGUCCCCUGUUGUCCUGAUCCCUGUCCCAUGGGUUUGGGGACAACGGGGACCCCCAGGGGUCUCUCCCACCCCAUAGACUUAGGGAUGAAGGAAACCCCACCCCACAGAGUCAGGCAUCCCUUCCAUCCCUGCCCUAUGGCUUUGGGGACCCCCAGUUGUCCCUCCCACCCCAAUCCCAUCAGGUUUGGGGACAACAGGGUCUUUUCCACCCCCAUCCCAUAAGGACAAAGGGGAUCCUGAGGGUCCCCAUCCCUGUCCUAUGGGUUUGGGACCCCAGGGGUCUCUCCCACCCCCACCCCAUAGACUUAGGGUUGAAGAGAACCCCCAGUUGUCCCUCCCACGCCAAUCCUAUGGGGUUUGGGGACAACAAGGACCCCUAGGAUCUCUCCCACCGCCAUCCCAUAGACUC
Molecule: long non-coding RNA, 1016 nt
Filed under: Phasianus colchicus (ring-necked pheasant)
Lineage: Eukaryota; Metazoa; Chordata; Aves; Galliformes; Phasianidae
Description: lncRNA (ENSPCLG00000014555.1)
Source: RNAcentral